Non-coding RNA from Chiloscyllium plagiosum (whitespotted bambooshark), 603 nucleotides. NCBI's taxonomy places the organism in Eukaryota, Metazoa, Chordata, Chondrichthyes, Orectolobiformes, Hemiscylliidae. The record is from RefSeq and is a predicted model, not a curated record.
GAAAAGUGCUCGUGUCUUGACAAUGUAUCUCCGAAAGUCAUUGAGAGCAGAUUUUGUAAACUGGAGGAAAUCAGUCGGCCUACGUGUGACAUCAGAAGAGACAAAAAAAAAAACUGCAGAUGGUGAAAUCCAAGGCAGACAAGCAGGAAGUUUGGAAAACAAGGGAAGUCCGGCAGCAUCAGGAGGUGAAGAUAUCAAAGUUUCGGGUGUGACCUUCCUUCGGUCCUGGAGAUGGGUAGGAUGAGGUGCCGUUUCCCACAACCUGCAGUCAGAUACGCUGUGGCAAAGAAGGAGGCGAAGGAUGGACAUGCUGGAAAACGAAUUACAACAGUCAACGACUAGGAGGUCAGGCCGGCUCCUGCAGGCCAGGCUGAGAGGCUUAGUGAAACGUGGCCUCAGUUUACUCUUGCUCUUGCUGAUGACGAGUAGGCCUCAUCCGAACCACUGGAUACAGUAAACGAGUUUGGAGAGGAGAAGGUGAACAUCAGUUCUUCCUGGAAAGACAGUUUGGGACCCGGGAUGGAGAUGCAGUAUCGGCUGAAGUAUUGCGUGAAUGCAGUGGACUACUUGCCUGUUGUUGGCAGGGAAAGGGUGUCGUUCGUC